Molecule: ribosomal RNA, 253 nt
Filed under: uncultured bacterium
Lineage: Bacteria
Description: partial 16S ribosomal RNA
Rfam family: Bacterial small subunit ribosomal RNA
Source: RNAcentral
UACGGAGGGUGCAAACGUUGCUCGGAAUCAUUGGGCGUAAAGCGCACGUAGGCGGCCUGAUAAGUCGGGUGUGAAAGCCCUGGGCUCAACCCAGGAAGUGCACUCGAAACUGUCAGGCUUGAAUAUGGAAGAGGGUCGCGGAAUUCCCGGUGUAGAGGUGAAAUUCGUAGAUAUUCGCAAGAACACCGGUGGCGAAGGCGGCCAACUGGACCAUUACUGACGCUGAGGCGCGAAAGCGUGGGGAGCAAACAGG